This 529-nucleotide ribosomal RNA is filed under the name uncultured bacterium. RNAcentral describes it as "bacterial SSU rRNA". It matches the Rfam family "Bacterial small subunit ribosomal RNA", at positions 777 to 1304 of the family's 1533-position model. The record is from RNAcentral.
AAUAGAUACCCAGGUAGUCCACGCCGUAAACGAUGAGUGCUAGGUGUUAGGGGGGUUUCCGCCCCUUAGUGCUGAAGUUAACGCAUUAAGCACUCCGCCUGGGGAGUACGGCCGCAAGGCUGAAACUCAAAAGAAUUGACGGGGGCCCGCACAAGCGGUGGAGCAUGUGGUUUAAUUCGAAGCAACGCGAAGAACCUUACCAGGUCUUGACAUCCGCUGACAAUCUUGGAGACAAGACGUUCCCUUCGGGGACAGCGUGACAGGUGGUGCAUGGUUGUCGUCAGCUCGUGUCGUGAGAUGUUGGGUUAAGUCCCGCAACGAGCGCAACCCUUGAUUCUAGUUGCCAGCAUUAAGUUGGGCACUCUAGAGUGACUGCCGGUGACAAACCGGAGGAAGGUGGGGAUGACGUCAAAUCAUCAUGCCCCUUAUGACCUGGGCUACACACGUGCUACAAUGGAUGGUACAAAGGGCAGCAAAGUCGCGAGGCUAAGCAAAUCCCAUAAAACCCAUUCUCAGUUCGGAUUGCAGG